GACGGAGGGUGCAUGCGUUGUUCGGAAUUACUGGGCGUAAAGAGCGUGUAGGCGGUUUGAUAAGUCGAGUGUGAAAGCCCGAGGCUCAACUUCGGAAGUGCACUCGAAACUGUCAGGCUUGAGUACGGGAGAGGGAAGUGGAAUUCCUGGUGUAGAGGUGAAAUUCGUAGAUAUCAGGAGGAACACCGGUGGCGAAGGCGGCUUCCUGGACCGAUACUGACGCUGAGACGCGAAAGCAUGGGGAGCAAACAGGAUUAGAUACCCUGGUAGUCCACGCCGUAAACGGUGAGCACUAGGUGUAGCGGGUAUUGACCCCUGCUGUACCGCAGCUAACGCAUUAAGUGCUCCGCCUGGGGAGUACGGUCGCAAGAUUAAA
RNAcentral lists this ribosomal RNA (376 nucleotides) under uncultured bacterium. Its description in RNAcentral is "bacterial SSU rRNA". It matches the Rfam family "Bacterial small subunit ribosomal RNA", at positions 524 to 898 of the family's 1533-position model. The record is from RNAcentral.